UCGAUGGUAGGAUAGAGGCCUACCAUGGUGGUAACGGGUAACGGGGAAUUAGGGUUCGAUUCCGGAGAGGGAGCCUGAGAAACGGCUACCACAUCCAAGGAAGGCAGCAGGCGCGCAAAUUACCCAAUCCCGACACGGGGAGGUAGUGACAAUAAAUAACAAUACGGGGCUCUUUCGGGUCUCGUAAUUGGAAUGAGUACAAUUUAAAUCCCUUAACGAGGAACAAUUGGAGGGCAAGUCUGGUGCCAGCAGCCGCGGUAAUUCCAGCUCCAAUAGCGUAUAUUAAAGUUGUUGCAGUUAAAAAGCUCGUAGUUGAAUUUCGGGAUUGACACAUCGGUCGUGCCUUAAGGGGUAUGAACUGGUGUAGUCAAUUUCUCACCUUCUGGAGAACCGCGAUGCCCUUAAUUGGGUGUCGCGGGGAACCAGGACCUUUACUUUGAAAAAAUUAGAGUGUUUAAAGCAGGCAUUUUGCUUGAAUACAUUAGCAUGGAAUAAUAAAAUAGGACGGCAUGAUCCUAUUUUGUUGGUUUCUAGGAUUGACGUAAUGAUUAAUAGGGAUAGUUGGGGGCAUUAGUAUUCAAUUGUCAGAGGUGAAAAUUCUUGGAUUUAUUGAAGACUAACUACUGCGAAAGCAUUUGCCAAGGAUGUUUUCAUUAAUCAAAGAACGAAAGUUUAGGGGAUCGAAGACGAUCAGAUACCGUCGUAGUCUUAACCAUAAACUAUGCCGACUAGGGAUCGGAUGAUGUUAAUUUUUUAAUGACUCAUUCGGCGCCCUUACGGGAAACCAAAGUGUUUGGGUUC
Molecule: ribosomal RNA, 801 nt
Filed under: uncultured Glomus
Lineage: Eukaryota; Fungi; Glomeromycota; Glomeromycetes; Glomerales; Glomeraceae
Description: SSU rRNA
Rfam family: Eukaryotic small subunit ribosomal RNA
Source: RNAcentral